GCCUGGGUGGCUCAGUCGGUUAAGCGUCCGACUUCAGCUCAGGUCAUGAUCUCACAGUUUGUGAGUUCAAGCCUCACAUUGGGCU
This is a non-coding RNA of Felis catus (domestic cat), 85 nucleotides long. Lineage: Eukaryota; Metazoa; Chordata; Mammalia; Carnivora; Felidae. The record is from Rfam.